RNAcentral lists this ribosomal RNA (246 nucleotides) under uncultured bacterium. RNAcentral describes it as "partial 16S ribosomal RNA". It matches the Rfam family "Bacterial small subunit ribosomal RNA", at positions 109 to 353 of the family's 1533-position model. The record is from RNAcentral.
AGUAAUGUCUGGGAAACUGCCUGAUGGAGGGGGGAGUAACUACUGGAAACGGUAGCUAAUACCGCAUAACGUCGCAAGACCAAAGAGGGGGACCUUCGGGCCUCUUGCCAUCAGAUGUGCCCAGAUGGGAUUAGCUAGUAGGUGGGGUAACGGCUCACCUAGGCGACGAUCCCUAGCUGGUCUGAGAGGAUGACCAGCCACACUGGAACUGAGACACGGUCCAGACUCCUACGGGGAGGCAGCAUG